UCUAUGCAAACAGCUGCAAGAUAGCUGAAAGACUUGAUCUAAAACCUCCAAGAAAGAAAGAUAGAUGAAAGUAUGGAGAUAAUGGAGAAAAAUUGUAAUGGCACUAAGAUUAGGACCUCUCCUAAAUUUAGUGGAAGGAAUGCCAGGGUUAGAAUCUUUCCUAGUCUUUUAGGGAUGUAGAGAAGGGAUCUAUGAAGGAGUAUGGUGGCGGC
RNAcentral lists this long non-coding RNA (212 nucleotides) under Elaeis guineensis (African oil palm). RNAcentral describes it as "long non-coding RNA (EGUI_LNC010640)". The record is from RNAcentral. Lineage: Eukaryota; Viridiplantae; Streptophyta; Magnoliopsida; Arecales; Arecaceae.